AGCUCCAAUAGCGUAUAUUAAAGUUGUUGCAGUUAAAAAGCUCGUAGUUGGAUUUGGGACGGGGGUCGCGCGGUCGGCCGCAAGGUCUGCUACUGUGCGGCCUCGUCAUUUACACUCUCGGAGACCCGUCGUGCACUUCGCUGUGCGCGGCGCGGGACUCGGGACGUUUACUUUGAAAAAAUUAGAGUGUUCAAAGCAGGCUUCAUCAAGCCCGGAUACAUGAGCAUGGAAUAAUGGAAUAGGACCGCGGUUCUAUUUUGUUGGUUUCUACGACCGCAGUAAUGAUUAAGAGGGACAAUUGGGGGCGUCCGUAUUUCGUUGUCAGAGGUGAAAUUCUUGGAUUUACGGAAGACGAACAUCUGCGAAAGCAUUUGCCAAGGAUGUUUUCAUUGAUCAAGAA
This 400-nucleotide ribosomal RNA is filed under the name phytoplankton environmental sample. RNAcentral describes it as "partial small subunit ribosomal RNA". It matches the Rfam family "Eukaryotic small subunit ribosomal RNA", at positions 587 to 983 of the family's 1831-position model. The record is from RNAcentral.